GAGACUCUGUGCGCGUGCAUAUCAAUAAGCGGAGGAAAAGAAACUAACAAGGAUUCCCUUAGUAACGGCGAGUGAAGCGGGAAGAGCUCAAAUUUGAAAUCUUCAAGGUUCUACCUUGACGAAUUGUAGUUUAUAGAAGUGUUUUCUGUUAGUAGAGUGGCAAAAGUUCUUUGGAAUAGGACAUCAUAGAGGGUGAGAAUCCCGUAUUUGGUCAUUCUUUCUAGCUUUGUGAUACACUUUCAACGAGUCGGAUUGUUUGGGAAUGCAGUCCAAAAUGGGUGGUAAAUUUCAUCUAAAGCUAAAUAUUGGCGAGAGACCGAUAGCGAACAAGUACCGUGAGGGAAAGAUGAAAAGAACUUUGAAAAGAGAGUUAAACAGUACGUGAAAUUGUCAAAAGGGAAGCGUUUGACACCAGUGUUGUUUUUCCGAAAAUCAAUUACGAAUGUUUUAUUUUUGAGGAGUUAUGACUUCAUCGGCUUGCUCCUUUCUUUACGAAACUUUCUUAAUGCACUUUUCGGUUAACAAGUCAACAUCAAUUUCUUUUGUUGUAAAAGGGUAUGAGGAAGGUGGCUUUCUUUUCGGAGAAAGUGUUUAUAGCCUUGUGCCUCUGCAAUCGGAGAGAUUGAGGUCUGCAGCGUAGAUCCUUCGGGGUUAGAUACGUUUGUGCUAAGUUAUAGCUUUUCAUAGACAACUUGUUGACUAUGUUUAGUCUUGUAGCUUACUCGCUUAUGCUAUUUUACCUACGCUUAGGAUGUUGAAGAUGUAGCACAUCAU
Molecule: ribosomal RNA, 774 nt
Filed under: uncultured Neocallimastigales
Lineage: Eukaryota; Fungi; Neocallimastigomycota; Neocallimastigomycetes; Neocallimastigales
Description: partial large subunit ribosomal RNA
Rfam family: Eukaryotic large subunit ribosomal RNA
Source: RNAcentral